RNAcentral lists this ribosomal RNA (460 nucleotides) under uncultured bacterium. RNAcentral describes it as "partial 16S ribosomal RNA". It matches the Rfam family "Bacterial small subunit ribosomal RNA", at positions 338 to 795 of the family's 1533-position model. The record is from RNAcentral.
CCUACGGGAGGCAGCAGUGAGGAAUAUUGGUCAAUGGGCGCAAGUCUGAACCAGCCAUGCCGCGUGCAGGAAGACGGCUCUAUGAGUUGUAAACUGCUUUUGUACGGGGGUAAACGCAGAUACGCGUGUCUGUCUGAACGUAUCGUGCGAAUAAGGAUCGGCUAACUCCGUGCCCGCCGCCGCGGUAAUACGGAGGAUUCAAGCGUUAUCCGGAUUUAUUUGGGUUAAAGGGUGCGUAGGCGGUCGGAUAAGUUAGAGGUGAAAUCCCGAGGCUCAACUUCGGAAUUGCCUCUGAUACUGUUCGGCUAGAGAGUAGUUGAGGUAUGCGGAAUGUAUGGUGUAGCGGUGAAAUGCUUAGAGAUCAUACAGAACACCGAUUGCGAAGGCAGCUUACCAAGCUACUUCUGACGUUGAGGCACGAAAGCGUGGGGAGCAAACAGGAUUAGAUACCCCUGUAGUC